This 440-nucleotide ribosomal RNA is filed under the name uncultured bacterium. Its description in RNAcentral is "partial 16S ribosomal RNA". It matches the Rfam family "Bacterial small subunit ribosomal RNA", at positions 338 to 795 of the family's 1533-position model. The record is from RNAcentral.
CCUACGGGAGGCUGCAGUGGGGAAUAGUGCACAAUGGGGGAAACCCUGAUGCAGCGACGCCGCGUGAGUGAAGAAGUAUCUCGGUACGUAAAGCUCUAUCAGCAGGGAAGAAAAUGACGGUACCUGACUAAGAAGCCCCGGCUAACGACGUGCCAGCAGCCGCGGUAAUACGUAGGGGGAAAGCGUUAUCCGGAUUUACUGGGUGUAAAGGGAGCGUAGACGGCAGCACAAGUCUGGAGUGAAAUCCCGGGGCUUAACCCCGGAACUGCUUUGGAAACUGUGCGGCUGGAGUGCAGGAGGGGUCAGCGUAAUUCCUAGUGUAGCCGUGACAUGCGUAGAUAUUAGGAGGAACACCGGUGGCGAAUGCGGCUUACUGGACUGUACCUGACGUUGCGGCUCGAACGCGUGGGGAGCAAACAGGAUUAGAUACCCCAGUAGUC